RNAcentral lists this long non-coding RNA (3637 nucleotides) under Cottoperca gobio. RNAcentral describes it as "lncRNA (ENSCGOG00000009435.1)". The record is from RNAcentral. Lineage: Eukaryota; Metazoa; Chordata; Actinopteri; Perciformes; Bovichtidae.
AUUUUCUUUAACGUUAUGGUCAUGGAGCACUAAAUAUGUGUGUUUUUUUCCCUCACAGUACAUGUUCCAGAACCAGGAAGCGGAGGCUUUUCCAGCUUCUGGCUGUGAGGAACAGUGAUCGAUUUGUGCUGUGGACUGUCUUUUCUGAAGUGGAAGGCCACAGAAGCUGCUGUUCCCCUCCUUAUUCCACUCUGCAUGGGUUUGAUCUCACGGCCCAACCAGGCUGUUUCAUACACAAGACUUUACUUUCUUUCUUUCUAUUUACAUACCUACAAAAUGCAGCAAAGCCUUUAUCCUUAUAUUUCCAGGCCAGCUGACUGCCAGAGUCAGCCACCAGGUCUGUGGGCAUGACUGCUGCCUGCUUGAAGAAAGACGCUGGUCUAAGUUUUUCAUAGUUAAACAAACAAGUGUGUUAUGACAUAAUUAUAUCUAGACUCCAGUUUUAAGCCAGCUGGAUGCAGACAGUGCAUUCUUGGCUCCAGCACUUUAGUCUUUGUGUGAGAGGGAGUUCCUGCUUGUGGAAGUGACUUUUUCUUCCUCUUCUGUAUAAAGAAGCUAUUACGGAUGUACAAAUGAAUAUUUUUUAUUAUUUUAUCCUAAUUACAAAAAUACUGUAUUCGUAUCCAAGAGAAAACUUUGGCAAAUCUUGGGGGCCGAUGUAGCAUACUGUAUAUUAUAAGUUAUGUGAUUUAUUUUUCAGUCUGUGUAAGGGUGUUGACAAUUUAAGGGCUCCUCAUAUAUUUCAUGCAUUUCAAAUCAUGAUGAAUGUGUUGAGAUAGAUCUGAAGUGAGUUAGACUUCCGUGAUAUGAAAGGUUCUUCUAGCGAAAUGGAUUUAAGCCACUCUAAAAUCUGAUAAGAAACCUUUAGUUUUUUUUAAGCAUAUCAUAAUAGGAGGUUUUACACACUGCAGCACCCAUCUAAUGUAUGAUUGCACAGGCCUGACAUGUAGCUAGAGACUUAGAGUUACUUCUCUUCUGUCCAUUUAAAUGUGAAGUUUAAAGGAAAUAUUAAAAGAUAGACUUCUCAUUUGACACAACCAUGAACACCACUGCAUUUUUGCACAAUAUGUAUCACUAGUUAUAGUUCUGACAACAGGUCAUUUAUUCUCUGUUUGUAGAUGACCAACACGUUGUUGCUCUACACAUGCAUGUCUAAAAGAGAGACUGGCCUCAAUAACAAGGUUUUUCAAAACUCGAAAGCAAAAAUGUAGUCUCGGAGACAUGAUGUCUCUGAAUGUUACUACUGUUUUUAUUUGGAAACAAAGGCCACAUGUUGAGUCAAGCCUUGACUGUGCAUAGAACAUAGAAACCCUGAGACAAAGUCAAGACAAUGAGAUGCUACUUUUCAUACUUUGUAAAAAAAUAAAAUACAAAAUAAAUAAAAAAGAAUAUUCAACUGUCUAGGAGCCAGUCUUCUAAAGGAUUUUAUUAUGGUUGACUGCGUUUCAUUAAAUGUAUGGUGGCGUGGUUAUUUGAGAACGGAGUCGGUUGUAGAACCAUGAAUACCUGCUUGAAGAAAUCCAUAUUAAUUUUCUGGAUUACAAAAGAUAAUCAAUAACCAUUCGAAGUAAAAUAUUAGUCCUCAUCACUGGUUGCAGGCAACAGUUUAAAGGGUUAACUUAUUGAUAAAUAUUCCUCUGGGAAACUUCCUAGAGAUGAGUUGAAUCGUGCAAUACUGUACAGAAUUGUGAGAACUCACAAAAUUGCAAUACAUGGAUGACCAUAGGAAUGUAGGAAACAGCAACUGUGAGUGGUGGACUGGAACUCACCAUGGUGAGAUGCACUGCAGAAGGAUGAUGUUAGCAUGCGAGUCUAAAAGCCCUGCAAGCUCUUUACUCUGAGUCGGACAAAAGCUUCAACGUGUAGUUUCAGUUUUAGGGAAACGCACACGUGCUAUGCUUCAGCUUAGCCUACGGCAAAGCUACGGCGGCUAUGUGUGUAGCUCUGUAGCUAAACUGUAAACCCUUAAUGCAGAACUACACAUCCAGCUUUAGGAAUGCUUUUUUUUGCACAGAAAAGCUGGACAUUUGGUCCCCUCUGUGUAUCCAAAAGGCUGAUUCAGGCCAAAAAGAUUUGAACUGACUGAACAACCAGCCAACCAGACACGGCGCUGCUGGCGAGGCUGAAAGGGAAGCGAUUUGCAUUAACUUUUUGAAAAGGGCAUUGCAUUAGACAUUCUGAAUUCAUAAUGCUGUAACUUUGCAUUGCGAUUAGCUACAGUGUGAUUCUGCAAAAACUAGAAAAGCAAUUCCUCUGACAUAGACAUGAUUACAACGGAGGGGUUUGUUUCUGCGAUGCGCUCAGAAAAACUUGCUCAUAGCUGUGUUCAUAUUGUGUAGAUUUACAGAGAUAUUAUAUUGGAUUUUCCAAAUUAAAAAGCUAAUGCAAACUGCCCCUUGCAGGUUAACAUCUUUAGGGCAGACGCUCCUUCUUUGUGCAUACUUUGGGGAGAAGGGAGAAAAAACAAGCUGUGGUGUAUAACAAGUGAAAUUGCACUAAAAAUCACAGUUGUAUGAUAUUUGAGAGUAUACAGUACAUUUUAGACAUAGCAUUUAUUCUUGUUCCUCAUGAUAAUAUGAGUGUUAAUGAUUUUUUUUUUUCAAGGAGUGAUGAAUACACACAUUCAGUUGCUGUUCUUAAUUUAUUCUGUUUUCCAUUUUAAUCAUUUGCACUGGAAAUGAACGGAUGUGUGUUCAAAUGACAUUUAUGCUUGUCAGGAUUGCAUAUAGAUAAGGAAGUAUUUUUGUUAACUGAGUGAAAAGUUCUCUGCUGUAACAAAGCCUGGCAUCCCAAAAGCACUUCUUCACUGCCAAUGGACAACAAUACAUCAGCAUAUUAACAUAUACAGUAUAUUAACAAAACAUGGACAGCAAAACCCUUUCUUGUUACAACAAAGUGCACCUGCUUUCAAUAUAGACACACAGGCAACCUUAGUGCUUAGAUGUGUUUGAAAGUGGGCCACAACCUGCUUAAAAUGUGAAUAGUUUUUUGCAAAGACUAAAGUGUAUUGUUACAGAGAGUCAAGAAAAUUGAACAUGUAUUCCACCUGUGUAUCACAUAUUUUAAGUUGUUAAAACAAAUAAAAGUGAAAGAAAGAAGACUAAGAUACAUUUUUGAUUACUUCCUUUGAAUUGGUAUUUGAAUUGUUGUAGAUUUACCAUCUGCAAAUGCAUUUCCUUGUGUUUACGAUUAACAAUGCGAUGUCCAUCUCAGCAACUGUGACGGGGGACCGCAGCCCGGUCAAGCUUCAUAAGCAAUGCAAAAGUAGUUAACUACAGUAGUAACUGUUCUUAAGUAAAUGAAUAUGUGAAGCAUAGCAGCAUUUACAAAACUACAGUAACACUUGAAGUCAAUUUUAUUGUGAGACUAAAACAUUUCAGCUUCUGGCCUUCAUCAGAUGACGCUCAUGAAUGGAUGUAUAAAGUAGCCUAUUGAUUAUAUAGGAUUGCAUUUCCUUAUACUGUUGCCAAGAGCAUGUAUACAUUAAUAGGAUGUGGUCUAAGGAUCGACCCUCGUGGAACCCCUGAUAAAGUUCAGCAGCAGAACAUUUAAAACGUAUUAACACAUUUCUCUGAUUCCAUCCAGCUUUUCUACUUCUAAGUAUUUUUUGUACAACUGUUAAAUCCAAAUCCAAAUC